AAUAGGUUUUUCGGCUAUUACAUCUAUGGGUAAAGGGUAAACGUCAAUGAGUUUAUGGGAGUAUAUUACAGAGGGGAUGGGAUCGAAGAGUAGUUGUUUAGCAGAGGUAUGAGCCUGACAUCCAAUUCUAUUCAUUUUCGGAGUCCAGCAUUCGAUCCUUUAUUUGAAAACACCUCACUAAUCAAUCAUCUAGCUAACUGAACCGGAUAUUCUCAUU
RNAcentral lists this long non-coding RNA (217 nucleotides) under Manihot esculenta (cassava). Its description in RNAcentral is "long non-coding RNA (MESC_LNC010835)". Lineage: Eukaryota; Viridiplantae; Streptophyta; Magnoliopsida; Malpighiales; Euphorbiaceae. The record is from RNAcentral.